GCUGCAGCUGGCUCAGCUGAGCGGGCUGUACCCCCUCCCAGCCUGCGAGAGGAGGAAGCUAGAGGAGGAUUUCCACCACCAAAAUCAAGGAGUAAAUCAAGAGGGCAGACAACAUUAGAAUAACUGCAUGAAGCCCAGAGUUCCAGUUACCCAUGGUCAACUG
Long non-coding RNA from Neogale vison (American mink), 163 nucleotides. RefSeq lists it as uncharacterized. NCBI's taxonomy places the organism in Eukaryota, Metazoa, Chordata, Mammalia, Carnivora, Mustelidae. The transcript has 3 exons. The record is from RefSeq and is a predicted model, not a curated record.